AACGAACGCUGGCGGCAGGCUUAACACAUGCAAGUCGAGCGCCCCGCAAGGGGAGCGGCAGACGGGUGAGUAACACGUGGGAAUCUACCCAUCCCUGCGGAACAACUCCGGGAAACUGGAGCUAAUACCGCAUACGCCCUUCGGGGGAAAGAUUUAUCGGGGAUGGAUGAGCCCGUGUUGGAUUAGCUAGUCGGUGGGGUAACGGCCUACCAAGGCGACGAUCCAUAGCCGGUCUGAGAGGAUGAGCAGCCACAUUGGGACUGAGACACGGCCCAAACUCCUACGGGAGGCAGCAGUGGGGAAUAUUGGACAAUGGGCGCAAGCCUGAUCCAGCCAUGCCGCGUGAAUGAUGAAGGCCUUAGGGUUGUAAAGUUCUUUCACCGAUGAAGAUAAUGACGGUAGUCGGAGAAGAAGCCCCGGCUAACUUCGUGCCAGCAGCCGCCGUAA
Molecule: ribosomal RNA, 447 nt
Filed under: uncultured bacterium
Lineage: Bacteria
Description: partial 16S ribosomal RNA
Rfam family: Bacterial small subunit ribosomal RNA
Source: RNAcentral